Molecule: long non-coding RNA, 849 nt
Organism: Myotis brandtii (Brandt's bat)
Lineage: Eukaryota; Metazoa; Chordata; Mammalia; Chiroptera; Vespertilionidae
Exons: 2
Source: RefSeq, a predicted model, not a curated record
CCGCCCCCCGCCCCGCUUCCUUUCUCUGAGCGUCCGGCCAGGCCGGCAUCUCUUCAAUCGAGUUUCCUCAUCUGAGAAACGGGGAGACGAUGUGGGGCUCCGCCGGUAACCGAAUAGGUGACUUUCAGCAGGUUCACACUUCUCAGUGCACACGCAUCCUGUAAAAACGGUGAUUCCGAGGGCAGCGUAGAUGUGCGUUCAUGUUAGCGUUCAAUGAACGGUUCACGAUGAGGAGCUCUGCUUUUCCAUGUUGGAGGAGGAGUCAGUAUGUGCCCUGGAUGCAUUCAUUCACGCAUUCGUUCAUGGCUUAUUUUGUGCUAGGUGCUGGGGAAACAGCAGGGAAGGAGACAGACUCAGUCCCUGACCUCACAGAACUUAAAUUUUGGUGAGAGGCAACCAGUACCCACACAGAUGGUUUGUCCUUACUUGCUGGAGCAUGUUUAUAGUAGCUGCUUUAAAGACUUUGUCAGAUAAUUCCAACAGCUGUGUACUCUCAGCAUCUGUUGAUUGUCUUUUCCUUUGUGAGUUGAGAUUUUCAUGUUUCUUCAUAUGUGUUAGCUCUGAUCAAAUAAUCAAAUCGAUAUCCCCUCCUCUGGGAAACUGACCUUUAGAUCAUUUCACAACUGACAUUCUCUUUCACUUAGAUGACAUUCCAUUUGCUAAGAACAGCAACUUUCCCCUCCAGACUUGCCCAGGGUCUGGACUUGCCCAGAGAAUUCUCCAUGGAAAAAGCCCUCCUAGAGUCCUUUAAAAUUUCUGACUCCCCGUCCCUGGCUGCUGAUGCCAUUUUGGCUCAGCCCAUCUGGUCUCCACAUGAUCUAAUAAAUUUAUAAUCCCUUGCCACUCUUG